CCCCGCUCUCCUCUUCUUUUGCCAGUCCACGUCGACAGUAUCCCGAACUCUCCACCGCUUUCCACGUCCCGCGACCGCUCUAGAUUUCCACACCUCAAACGAUUAAUGGUGCUUGCGGCGGGGCAUGCCGAUCUGGCCGCGCGACCUCCGUGGGAGGCGAGGAGGCGAGUAGGAAGCGGCAAAGAUGAACACGCCGGCCGACAUUUACGGAGCCAUAUCUCCUCCACAACUCAUCUCUCUCCCGGACCUCCCAGUCUUCCAAACCGACCCACGUCUCUCUCGCCCCCACGUGCUUUCUCCACCUCCUGCUCUUCCAAACUAUCGGCUGGACAAGGGGCUGAGAAGCAGCGUGGCGGCAGUUCAGCGGCGGGGUUCGAGUGGAACAGAGCAAGCUGGAUGUAACGAAACGGAGGACGUGGAUGGAUUUGAUCGCGGGAGCCGGACGUGGUCAUUGCUGGAGGCGGCAGUGCUGCACCCGUUCGACGGCUGCUGUCCAGGGCCGUGCGAGAGAUCAACUAGGUCCUCCCUGACUCAGCCAUGCAGUUCCAUCAGCCUGGAUGUGUACAAGCCAAUUGCAAUUUCUAGGGUUUCAGCGGCGGGUCGCUGGCGCUCAAUAGCGAUGAUGCCGAGUGGAUUGGGUAAGAUUCGUUGCCUCUUCCCGUCCACGCAACACUCCUUAUCAGAUUCCCCUUUGUACCCGGUGAAUUGAAUGGUUUUCACCACUGCCAUGUUAUAGGGAUAUGUUAUACAGCAUAUGAAGAUAUAUUAUUGUCCAUUAUCUGCCACACAAGGUGUUUGUUUUCAGAUUUUCUUCAAAGGUUAAUUAUUUCUGCCUUCUAGGAGUUCUAGAUCGGCCAAACCAUUCAUUCCUUCCAAAGGAGACUGGAAGACUCAGGUCAAAUACAACUACUAUUUUCCUUAGCUAACCAAACCUUGAAGCACAUUGUAAAAUAGUUGUGUGUUAUAGUUUCUGCACUGAUACUACAUAAGAACAGGGAUGAGCAAUACAUGCCUGCAUGCGAAGCACGUUACCAAUUUGUUAUAUCUUUUAGUUCACUUUUGUCCUUAUAUGUAUUACAAAAAGUUCUCAGAAAUUACAUGAUUUCCUGUCCUUUUUUCUUGAUAUGUAUUACAAGAAGCCCUCAGAAAUUAACUGAUUUCCUUGAACAUGUGUACUAAUAUUUACAUUUAAAUGCAGAGAAGAAAUAUCAUUGGGCAUCAGUUUUUGGACUCACUUCCAGUACUAAAACUAAGUUAGUUAACAUGCUGUUACCGCUUAGGUUAUUGGAUCCAUGGAAACAAUUGACAGGGAAUAUGCAAGCACACAUAUCAUUGAGAUAUCUUUCCGUUGUUAUUAGCUCACAUGAAACUUAAUGUCAUAGCCCAACUUCUGAACUGUUUUGCAGCGCUACCGUCUUUGGUCGUUCCUCACACCCAGCUGCCUGUGCAGCUUUACUUAUGGAGGUGUUAGCAAUUUGAUUAUGGCGGACAACAUUGGCGAGCAACCCUCGUGUAAUUACAGUUGCACAUGCCAAGACAUUAGGGAGCAGGUCCAGUGGCAGCUACCGUUGCUUAAAAGCUCUUCCCAGCGGCAGGACUGUCGUCAGCAAGUUCUUUCACUGCAGAUAGGAAAUGGCUGCAAGCUGAUUCGAUCUGAGAGCAAGGGCACCGUGCAUUCGCUUCUACUGUCUCUGUGUUGGUUCUGAUGCGCCAGGGCAAGACCUUCACCUAUGAGCUCACUGUCGGCGGCAUGCAGUUACAUGGGUCGGACUUGCUCGCUCUUCUCGAUUCCUAGCUUUUUCUUUACGAGGUUCUUUACUCCGCAUCUAGAUUACUCUGAAAGCCUGACGUUCUGAUCGUUUCGUUUUUUAACCAAGGAAAUCAUGACAAAAAUUUAUAAGUUGCUGCUGCUAAAAUUUGGUAACCACUACUUAAUUUUCAUUCUCAAAUUUUCUUUGUGAUUGUUAUUCAUUCCAGGAAAAAAUGCAAAAAUGGAUGAACUUUGUUUUCAUACAGCCAGUAUUUUUGUAGUAGUGAUCCCUGUCCAAAAGACCACAUGAAUUAUAUGAAGGUAUAGUGCUUUAGAUCCUACUUUUAGGCUGUGACAUGUAAUACUGAUUCUAUGUGGCAGCACACAGACUUAGCCUUAGUGUACAGGAAAGGAAGUGGCUCAAUCCCCUGUUACCUGUGUUGUGUGCUACGGGGAGGUACUUUGCUCUAUCUUUUUUCUAGGAAUGCAUUCUGCUGGUGAUGGAUUUGAAUAGCUCAUUGAGACCCUUAAUUUUGGCUGGCCGUAAUAUGCAGAAUUAUGGUUAGUCCCCUGUUAGAUGUGCUUCUUUCUUCAUGAAUUUAGUGUGAGGAGAUAUGAAUAUCUUUCAACCUUUGUUCCCAUUAAACCAGAUUAUUAGAGUACCUUUAUUUUUGGUGGAAAAUUGCAGGUUACUGUCUUUCCACUUCUAUUGCUGCCAGGAAUUCACCGUGUAUGGCUCAUGCCCUUCUGUCCAGAGCAAAAGAUUUGGACCUGCCUGUAGAUUUCCUCUACUUCUCGAGCCUGGAGGAUUAUUGUUCUCUACUUCUGGACCUGCCCUUAGUUUUCUAAGGCCAAUGUGAGUGCUCUAUUGUUUUUCUUAUAUCAUACCAUACUUAAUAUCUUACAUGUGAACCUACACACUUGGUAUAUGCAUACUAUUGUUUACUUCGGUUUAAAUCACCAUAUAAUGGUUAAAAACGUUUUCUUCUCCCACAACUGUCGGAAUUCCCAAGGCUCUACAGCGAUGCCUUUCCUUCUUUCACAGUUGUUAAAAUUCCCAAUUUAAAUUGGGGUUAAAUCAUUUUCAUUUAUUGAUGUUUUUUUCAGGGAGCUUGGAAAAAGAAUUUCUUGUGUCAUUAAAACAGUCAGACAUUCUGGCACUAAAUUACCAUCACUAGAUUACUUGACAAGUAAAAUUUAUGAAGGCACCGAACAGUUUAUACUGGUGGAAGAGUCUCUCUUCCUAUUUAUCCAGAUUGUCCUUCCCCUUUGGCUGAUCUACCUAGCUUUGAUGGUGGUGCUGAAUCAAUUAGUGAGUAUAAUUCUAAAUUUGCUUCUACAUCUCUCGAUGUUGAUGUUCACAAAAACGUUAAUGUUGGAAAUGACAGAUAUGUUUUCAAAUAUAUUUGGGGUACUUUGUCGUGAGAUUCGUUCUUUGCUUCCUCCAAAUGAUAAUCCUCUUCCUAUGUUUGACCAACUGUAUAUUCAUGAUGCGGAAUGAGAACCAUAGAAUGCAUAUAUUUGUUACAGUUGAUGCUGAAGGUGAUCAGGCGUCUGCAUCGAAUGGACUACCAUUGUCUUCAUCCCGUGGUCGUCGGCAAUGGAAUGAGGUGCAGGCUGAUGCCAAGCUGGAUGGUCAUUCUAUGCGUUAGCGACGAUGUUGCCGUAGGAAGGAGCAGGAUCCUGCUAUAGUGGACUCCUUGUGCAAAUAUUUCGUAUUGUUUAGCAGAGGAAGUUGCUAUUGGCUGCAGAUCAUGGCAACAGUUACUCUCUUCCGGCAGCAUGUUAGCUGGUUUCUCUUAUUGUUGGUAAUCUUCAUGUAGCUGCAGAUUUUACUAGGUCGACUGAUGAUAUAAUCCAGUCCAAUGUACUAUUGUAAUUCAAUAAAACGUAUACUAAUGCUACCAGCUUAUUUACAUUCAAAUUGUUCUCAACAUA
This is an RNA transcript of Lolium rigidum, 3688 nucleotides long. RefSeq lists it as uncharacterized. The transcript is spliced from 2 exons. The record is from RefSeq and is a predicted model, not a curated record. Lineage: Eukaryota; Viridiplantae; Streptophyta; Magnoliopsida; Poales; Poaceae.